This 853-nucleotide ribosomal RNA is filed under the name Escherichia coli. RNAcentral's name for it is "partial 23S ribosomal RNA". It matches the Rfam family "Bacterial large subunit ribosomal RNA", at positions 380 to 1238 of the family's 2925-position model. Lineage: Bacteria; Pseudomonadati; Pseudomonadota; Gammaproteobacteria; Enterobacterales; Enterobacteriaceae. The record is from RNAcentral.
CAAAAAUGCACAUAUUGUGAGCUCGAUGAGUAGGGCGGGACACGUGGUAUCCUGUCUGAAUAUGGGGGGACCAUCCUCCAAGGCUAAAUACUCCUGACUGACCGAUAGUGAACCAGUACCGUGAGGGAAAGGCGAAAAGAACCCCGGCGAGGGGAGUGAAAAAGAACCUGAAACCGUGUACGUACAAGCAGUGGGAGCCUCUUAAUGGGGUGACUGCGUACCUUUUGUAUAAUGGGUCAGCGACUUAUAUUCUGUAGCAAGGUUAACCGAAUAGGGGAGCCGAAGGGAAACCGAGUCUUAACUGGGCGUUAAGUUGCAGGGUAUAGACCCGAAACCCGGUGAUCUAGCCAUGGGCAGGUUGAAGGUUGGGUAACACUAACUGGAGGACCGAACCGACUAAUGUUGAAAAAUUAGCGGAUGACUUGUGGCUGGGGGUGAAAGGCCAAUCAAACCGGGAGAUAGCUGGUUCUCCCCGAAAGCUAUUUAGGUAGCGCCUCGUGAAUUCAUCUCCGGGGGUAGAGCACUGUUUCGGCAAGGGGGUCAUCCCGACUUACCAACCCGAUGCAAACUGCGAAUACCGGAGAAUGUUAUCACGGGAGACACACGGCGGGUGCUAACGUCCGUCGUGAAGAGGGAAACAACCCAGACCGCCAGCUAAGGUCCCAAAGUCAUGGUUAAGUGGGAAACGAUGUGGGAAGGCCCAGACAGCCAGGAUGUUGGCUUAGAAGCAGCCAUCAUUUAAAGAAAGCGUAAUAGCUCACUGGUCGAGUCGGCCUGCGCGGAAGAUGUAACGGGGCUAAACCAUGCACCGAAGCUGCGGCAGCGACACUAUGUGUUGUUGGGUAGGGGAGCG